CAUCGCUACAAGUUUCUUGGCACGUCUAGUGGUCGGGCCUUCUUGUCUUCUCAUUUUUUGAUCUCAGAAUCUUUAAAGUUUUCACCAUUACAUCAACAAUGGCAAACGAAAAGGCAAAAAAAAUUAUGAUUUGUCUUGAAGAGGUCCUUGCUGAACUUUUCCAUGCAACCAGGGUCCAAACAAAAAUUGAAAAAACUCAACUGAUUCCACCACUAGAUAAGUUCUCUAACAAAGGCAAAAUGAAAAUUACUUUCAAGAAGCCAAACUCUCGUUCUACAGAAAAUAUCAAGAGUUCGACGAGAUGCUCUCAUUCUAAUUUUGUCUCUAUUGAAAGAUCCUACAGACAUCACCAUAUACGUCCGAUUAUGAAGCAGCCGAGUCUACUCUUCCAAUCUGAACCAGCACAAAUUUCUCUUUGCACUACCACAAGUCCUUUUUCAUUUUUUUUUUCUCCUUGACAUUCUGGAGCGUGACAUGAGUACAAUGUUCUGUGGUUGACACAGCUGGUUUCCUUUGCAUUUUUCUCUAACGUGGUCUCUUGCGUUACACCACCCUCUGGGGCGGAGGCCAACUUGACAUACCAGCGAAGUAUGGACCUGCCACCUUAUCAUCACAAACCUUAAGAAAUGCCUACAAGUUGACAACAGGUCGAUUUAUGUGUUACCUGCCAUGUAGCAACACAGUAUGCUUCGCCUUGGACCGGGGGUAAAAAGCGGUUUCCGCACAACAUAGUCACCAACGUCAAAAUGCAAUCAUUACUUUAUAUAUAUAUAAACAACUUUGAUUAUUGAAUACAACACAAAUUCUCCUUCUCUUCCCCUCUCUUUCUCCAAUUUCUUUCCCUUUCUGCAUACUCUAUUAUAUAUUUUCUUAUAUGACUAUAGUUAUUAUAUAUACAUGCAUACAGCAUCAGUCAGAUUUGAUGAUGCAACACUCGAAGUCUGGAGAAGUAUAAUGGCAUUCAACUCAGGUACGAGUAUCGAAUACGAGACGUAUCUAAAAAUCAAAAAGUCCAAAUUCCGGACAUUGGUACAUAAUACGUCUUACAAAUUUUAAUUUUUUCCUCCAAAAAUUGACAUGUGAAAAGUUAAAUAAUAAUUAAGCGACAAAUUGUUAAAAGAUAGAACAUGCCACUUAAAAUCUACUAAGAAUUUAUACUAAAAC
This 1164-nucleotide long non-coding RNA is filed under the name Olea europaea subsp. europaea. Lineage: Eukaryota; Viridiplantae; Streptophyta; Magnoliopsida; Lamiales; Oleaceae. The record is from RNAcentral.